RNAcentral lists this unclassified non-coding RNA (211 nucleotides) under Hevea brasiliensis (rubber tree). Lineage: Eukaryota; Viridiplantae; Streptophyta; Magnoliopsida; Malpighiales; Euphorbiaceae. The record is from RNAcentral.
AAAUCAUUUUCCACAAAAUCUCGCAACUUCUCCCUGUUGGUAACCCACAAUGCAACAAGUGCUCCAGCCGUAUGACAAAGUUGCUUGACAGGGAGAGAUAAGAAGUAUCGGCUAGGCAAAGUUGGAUACCUAACUUUCUGACGAGCACUACCAUUUUCCCAAGGGGGGUCUAUAACUAUGAGAUUGAAGCCACAAUCAGAACCAGCUGGGA